GCCCGCUAAGGGUAUCUUUUGGCACCUCUAAAAAUGGUGCAGAAUAAGGGGUGGGCAAGUCUGGUGUCAGCCGCCGCGGUAAUACCAGCACCCCGAGUUGUCGGGACGAUUAUUGGGCCUAAAGCAUCCGUAGCCGGUUCUACAAGUCCUCCGUUAAAUCCACCUGCUCAACAGAUGGGCUGCGGGGGAUACUAUAGGGCUAGGAGGCGGGAGAGGCAAACGGUACUCAGUGGGUAGGGGUAAAAUCCAUUGAUCUACUGAAGACCACCAGUGGCGAAGGCGGUUUGCCAGAACGCGCUCGACGGUGAGGGAUGAAAGCUGGGGGAGCAAACCGGAUUAGAUACCCGGGUAGUCCCAGCUGUAAACGAUGCAGACUCGGUGAUGGGUUGGCUUCGCGCCAACCCAGUGCCGCAGGGAAGCCGUUAAGUCUGCCGCCUGGGGAGUACGGUCGCAAGACUGAAACUUAAAGGAAUUGGCGGGGGAGCACCACAAGGGGUGAAGCCUGCGGUUCAAUUGGAGUCAACGCCGGGAAUCUUACCGGGGGCGACAGCAGAGUGAAGGUCAAGCUGAAGACUUUACCAGACAAGCUGAGAGGAGGUGCAUGGCCGUCGCCAGCUCGUGCCGUGAGGUGUCCUGUUAAGUCAGGUAACGAGCAAGAUCCCUGCCUCUAGUUGCUACCACUGCUCUCAGGAGCAGAGGGGCUAAUUAGAGGGACCGCCGCCGCUGAAGGCGGAGGAAGGAGGGGGCUACGGCAGGUCAGUAUGCCCCGAAACCCUCGGGCCACACGCGGGCUGCAAUGGUAAGGACAGCGGGCUCCGAUCCCGAAAGGGGGAGGCAAUCCCACAAACCUUACCUCAGUUAUGAUUGAGGGCUGAAACUCGCCCUCAUGAAUAUGGAAUCCCUAGUAACCGCGUGUCAACAUCGCGCGGUGAAUACGUCCCUG
Molecule: ribosomal RNA, 943 nt
Filed under: uncultured euryarchaeote
Lineage: Archaea; Methanobacteriati; Methanobacteriota
Description: bacterial SSU rRNA
Rfam family: Archaeal small subunit ribosomal RNA
Source: RNAcentral